This 1798-nucleotide ribosomal RNA is filed under the name Triticum aestivum (bread wheat). Its description in RNAcentral is "partial small subunit ribosomal RNA". The record is from RNAcentral. Lineage: Eukaryota; Viridiplantae; Streptophyta; Magnoliopsida; Poales; Poaceae.
UUCUUUAUGAUAUGUAGAAUAGGAGUGCCGUAGUGUGUCAGGAGAUUGAGAGAGUCGAGCUCGGACUAGGGCAGGGACGGCGAAGGGCAGGUAUCUGCCGCAGCGGCGUAAGAACAGAGGGGAGGUGCCGCAGCCGGCCGGGGAGGAGAGGGUCGGUAGAGAGGAGGUACAGCGCGCGGCUCGGGCAGGAGGGAAGGGAGCUACCGAAGCAGGCGUAGGAGGAGGCUGACGGUGCCACCGAGCUAACCAAGCUAGGUGGCGGUAGGUGCGGGCUGUCCAAUAAGGCUGCUACCCCGCCGCCGCUUCGAAUCGCGCUACUGUCUCGGAAGGAGGUCGAGAUGGUUCUUUGGGAGCGAGAGGCAGGCAGAAGGAGGGAAACGGUCGUGGUGGAUCGCAGCGGUACCAGCCACCGGCGCUGGUGGUUGUUCUCCUUAGCGCUCCGCCGCCGCCGCCGUGGUUCCCCUUCGGCGUCGGGCAGUGACGGUUCCUUUUCGCCCAGUGUCGAUUCCUUCACAGCCUCAGCUCCUUCGGGCUGAUGUUGGAAUUCUUUCUGUAGCUUCAUGAUACCCCUUUCUACUAUCCAGCAGUAAACUCGUUCCUCCUAUAUUAGUUCGAUCAAUGGCUCCGGGAGGCAUUUUACCUAACCUUUAUAAACCUUAAAGACCUAGGGUAUGUACACACAUCACCAAGAGUGUGAGUUCUCUCACCGUUCCAAUCCUGCGUAUAAUAGUCUUAGAACUUCUUCGUCUAAUACUUCGAACUACAGUCACUAAUACCUACGGAACAAGAUAAACUUCUCGACUGUUUCGUCAAUUUCCUUUAGUAUAACUAUUCGAAUUUGUCCAGGUAGAAACUGGUUCAUAUCCUGCCCGUCUACAGCGCUUUCCUUAUGAGUACCAAAGACUUCUGACUGGUACGAGGGAGCUCAUGAUGCGUCGUUGUUUGAGUCAUUUUUCUCCCGAGUCUGUACCGCUGUUCUUACUUCCACCUCCCUUUCCUCACCUCUCUUUCAUAAGACCUCCAGUCCUACCGUUUGGAUCCCUCAAGCCCGUAUACUGCAGGUUUACUCCAACUAAACUUAGGGGCCCAUACACCAAUACGUACUCGACACCUUCGUUUCCACACACAGCCGACCAAUACGUACUCGACACCUUCGUUUCCACACACAGCCGACCUCGACUAAAUGCCCCGACAGUAAACCUACCAUGGUUUGACAUUAUUAUGUCUGAGGGUGAGUUUUAAAGUGACGUGGUUUCCGAGAGCAGUCCUACCGUUUGGAUCCCUCAAGUCCGUGGUACUUUGUAUUGAAGGAAACGGUAGCCUCUCUUUCUUCUGCCAUCCGCGCGAGUCCUCUACUGCGUCGUUGUUGGCAGCUCGCCUCCAACACAAACCUCCGCUGGUCGUCUCCGACGUCGAGGGUGUCGAGCGCACGCUUGCUACACCGGCCUGCUGCUAACUUCGCCGCAAAGACAAAACCGCCGCACGAAAGCGCACACCUACCUCGAGCAUGCGGUCCUUCUUGACCGCAGAACUACCUCGAGCAUGCGGUCCUUCUUGACCGCAAGCAACCGCCCAGCUUCUUCAAACUAAAAACCAGCUACCUGGAGCAGGAGCAAGCACCCAACGCCUCGACAAAAAAACAACUGACCCGCGCUAGCACCCCAAGGUACCUGAAUAGCAAGCACACAACUUGACACCUAGAGCAUGCACCCGACUCAACAACAUAAAAAAAAACGCCCGCGACUCAACCACAAAAAAGCAUGCACCCGAUACAACCACCCGACGACGCACGCACACC